UGCCGGCGACCGGCGGACGGGUGCGUAACGCGUAUGUAACCUACCUUUGACAGGGGGAUAACAUCGAGAAAUUGGUACUAAUACCCCAUAACAUCACCGGAGGCAUCUUCGGUGGUUGAAAACUCAGGUGGUCAGAGAUGGACAUGCGUUGUAUUAGCUAGUUGGUGAGGUAACGGCUCACCAAGGCGACGAUACAUAGGGGAACUGAGAGGUCAACCCCCCACAUUGGUACUGAGACACGGACCAAACUCCUACGGGAGGCAGCAG
This 267-nucleotide ribosomal RNA is filed under the name uncultured bacterium. RNAcentral describes it as "partial 16S ribosomal RNA". It matches the Rfam family "Bacterial small subunit ribosomal RNA", at positions 86 to 354 of the family's 1533-position model. The record is from RNAcentral.